This 239-nucleotide ribosomal RNA is filed under the name uncultured bacterium. RNAcentral's name for it is "partial 16S ribosomal RNA". It matches the Rfam family "Bacterial small subunit ribosomal RNA", at positions 15 to 244 of the family's 1533-position model. The record is from RNAcentral.
GAUCCUGGCUCAGGACGAACGCUGGCGGCGUGCCUAAUACAUGCAAGUAGAACGCUGAAGAGAGGAGCUUGCUCUUCUUGGAUGAGUUGCGAACGGGUGAGUAACGCGUAGGUAACCUGCCUUGUAGCGGGGGAUAACUAUUGGAAACGAUAGCUAAUACCGCAUAACAAUGGGUGACUCAUGUCAUUUAUUUGAAAGGGGCAAAUGCUACACUACAAGAUGGACCUGCGUUGUAUUAG